AUGAACGCUGGCGGCGUGCUUAACACAUGCAAGUCGAACGGGAAUUAUUUUAUUGAAACUUCGGUCGAUUUAAUUUAAUUCUAGUGGCGGACGGGUGAGUAACGCGUGGGUAACCUGCCUUAUACAGGGGGAUAACAGUCAGAAAUGGCUGCUAAUACCGCAUAAGCGCACAGAGCUGCAUGGCUCAGUGUGACAAACUCCGGUGGUAUAAGAUGGACCCGCGUUGGAUUAGCUGGUUGGUGGGGUAACGGCCCACCAAGGCGACGAUCCAUAGCCGGCCUGAGAGGGUGAACGGCCACAUUGGGACUGAGACACGGCCCAGACUCCUACGGGAGGCAGCAGUGGGGAAUAUUGCACAAUGGGGGAAACCCUGAUGCAGCGACGCCGCGUGAAGGAAGAAGUAUCUCGGUAUGUAAACUUCUAUCAGCAGGGAAGAUAGUGACGGUACCUGACGAAGAAGCCCCGGCUAACUACGUG
RNAcentral lists this ribosomal RNA (477 nucleotides) under uncultured bacterium. RNAcentral describes it as "partial 16S ribosomal RNA". It matches the Rfam family "Bacterial small subunit ribosomal RNA", at positions 29 to 507 of the family's 1533-position model. The record is from RNAcentral.